Molecule: small nuclear RNA, 72 nt
Filed under: Salvator merianae (Argentine black and white tegu)
Lineage: Eukaryota; Metazoa; Chordata; Lepidosauria; Squamata; Teiidae
Source: RNAcentral
CCAAUACAGAGAAGUGUAGCAUGGCCCCUAUGCAAGGAUGACAUGCAAAUUCGUGAAAUGUUCCAUAUUAAA